RNAcentral lists this ribosomal RNA (468 nucleotides) under uncultured bacterium. RNAcentral's name for it is "partial 16S ribosomal RNA". It matches the Rfam family "Bacterial small subunit ribosomal RNA", at positions 28 to 507 of the family's 1533-position model. The record is from RNAcentral.
GACGAACGCUGGCGGCGUGCUUAACACAUGCCAGUCGAACGGAAAGGCCCUGCGUUUGUGGGGUUCUCGAGUGGCGAACGGGUGAGUAACACGUGAGUAACCUCCCCUUGACUUUGGGAUAACUUCAGGAAACUGGGGAUAAUACCGGAUAGGAGCUCCUGAUGCAUGGUGGGGGUUGGAAAGUUCCGGCGGUUGUGGAUGGACGGGCUGGUUAUCAGCUUGUUGGUGGGGUAGUGGCUGACCAAGCCUUUGACGGGUAGCCGGCCUGGGAGGGGGACCGGCCACAUUGGGACUACGAGACGGCCCAGACGCCUACGGGACGCAGCAGGCGAGAAUAUGACAGAAUGGGCGGGAGUCAGAGGCAGCAACGCCGCGUGCGGGAUAAUGUCCUUCGAGUGGUGAACCGAUUUCGCCUGUGACAAAGCGUUAGUGACGGUAAUGGGUAAAAAAGCACCGGCUAACUACGUG